RNAcentral lists this ribosomal RNA (479 nucleotides) under uncultured bacterium. RNAcentral describes it as "partial 16S ribosomal RNA". It matches the Rfam family "Bacterial small subunit ribosomal RNA", at positions 28 to 507 of the family's 1533-position model. The record is from RNAcentral.
GAUGAACGCUAGCGGGAGGCCUAACACAUGCAAGCCGAGCGGUAUUGUUUCUUCGGACAUGAGAGAGCGGCGUACGGGUGCGUAACACGUGUGCAACCUGCCUUUAUCUGGGGGAUAGCCUUUCGAAAGGAAGAUUAAUACUCCAUAAUAUAUUGAACGGCAUCGUUUAAUAUUGAAAGCUCCGGCGGAUAGAGAUGGGCGCGCGCAAGAUUAGCUAGUUGGUGAGGUAACGGCUCACCAAGGCGAUGAUCUUUAGGGGGCCUGAGAGGGUGAUCCCCCACACUGGUACUGAGACACGGACCAGACUCCUACGGGAGGCAGCAGUGAGGAAUAUUGGUCAAUGGGUGCAAGCCUGAACCAGCCAUCCCGCGUGAAGGACGACUGCCCUAUGGGUUGUAAACUUCUUUUGUAUAGGGAUAAACCUACCCUCGAGAGGGUAGCUGAAGGUACUAUACGAAUAAGCACCGGCUAACUCCGUG